Molecule: ribosomal RNA, 800 nt
Filed under: uncultured bacterium
Lineage: Bacteria
Description: bacterial SSU rRNA
Rfam family: Bacterial small subunit ribosomal RNA
Source: RNAcentral
AGAGUUUGAUCCUGGCUCAGAACGAACGCUGGCGGCGUGCCUAACACAUGCAAGUCGAGCGAGAAAAGGGGGGCAACUCCCUGAGUAAAGCGGCGCACGGGUGAGUAACACGUAGGUAACCUACCCUCAAGCCUGGGAUAACCCGCCGAAAGGUGGGCUAAUACCGGAUAUGACCACGAGAGUCACGGCUCUCGCGGUGAAAGAAGGCCUCUGCUUGCAAGCUUUCACUCGAGGAUGGGCCUGCGCGCCAUUAGCUAGUUGGCGGGGUAAUGGCCCACCAAGGCUUUGAUGGCUAGCUGGUCUGAGAGGAUGGCCAGCCACACUGGGACUGGAACACGGCCCAGACUCCUACGGGAGGCAGCAGUGGGGGAUAUUGCGCAAUGGGCGAAAGCCUGACGCAGCGACGCCGCGUGGGUGAUGAAGGCCUUCGGGUCGUAAAGCCCUGUCGAGAGGGACGAAGGCGUUCCGACCUAAUACGUCGGGGCCUUGACGGUACCUCUAAAGGAAGCACCGGCUAACUCCGUGCCAGCAGCCGCGGUAAUACGGAGGGUGCGAGCGUUGUUCGGAAUCACUGGGCGUAAAGCGCGUGUAGGCGGCCUGCUAAGUCUGAUGUGAAAGCCCUGGGCUCAACCCAGGAAGUGCAUUGGAUACUGGGAGACUUGAAUACGGGAGAGGGUAGUGGAAUUCCUAGUGUAGGAGUGAAAUCCGUAGAUAUUAGGAGGAACACCGGUGGCGAAGGCGGCUACCUGGACCGAUAUUGACGCUGAGACGCGAAAGCGUGGGGAGCAAACAGGAUUAGA